Molecule: ribosomal RNA, 495 nt
Filed under: uncultured bacterium
Lineage: Bacteria
Description: partial 16S ribosomal RNA
Rfam family: Bacterial small subunit ribosomal RNA
Source: RNAcentral
GACAAACGCUGGCGGCGUGCCUAAUACAUGCAAGUCGAACGCUGAAGGAGGAGCUUGCUCUUCUGGAUGAGUUGCGAACGGGUGAGUAACGCGUAGGUAACCUGCCUGGUAGCGGGGGAUAACUAUUGGAAACGAUAGCUAAUACCGCAUAAGAGUAGAUGUUGCAUGACAUUUACUUAAAAGGUGCAAUUGCAUCACUACCAGAUGGACCUGCGUUGUAUUAGCUAGUUGGUGGGAUAACGGCUUACCAAGGCGACGAUACAUAGCCGACCUGAGAGGGUGAUCGGCCACACUGGGACUGAGACACGGCCCAGACUACUACGGGAGGCAGCAGUAGGGAAUCUUCGGCAAUGGACGGAAGUCUGACCGAGCAACGCCGCGUGAGUGAAGAAGGGUUUCGGAUCGUAAAGCUCUGUUGUAAGAGAAGAACGAGUGUGAGAGUGGAAAGUUCACACUGUGACGGUAUCUUACCAGAAAGGGACGGCUAACUACGUG